UCUGCCAACAGGCCGAGUUGUAAUUUGAAGAAAGCAAUUCUGGAUGUGUCUUUGCUCAAGUUCCUUGGAACAGGACAUCAUGGAGGGUGAGAAUCCCGUGAUGCGAAGGUAGCAUAUCUAUGUAGAAUGUUUUCGACGAGUCGAGUUGUUUGGGAAUGCAGCUCAAAGUGGGUGGUAAAUUCCAUCUAAAGCUAAAUAUUGGCGAGAGACCGAUAGCGAACAAGUACUGUGAAGGAAAGAUGAAAAGAACUUUGAAAAGAGAGUGAAAAAGUACGUGAAAUUGUUGAAAUGGAAGGGCUUGAGAUUAGACAUGGUGUUUAGUGUUCCACUUUCUUUUGGGAAUGUGUACUCGCUUUACACCGGGCCAGCAUCAGUUUUGGUGGGAGGAUAAAUGGUAUUGAAUGUGGCUGCUUGCAGUGUUAUAGCUUUAUCAAAUACUUCCAAUCGGGACUGAGGACCGCGCAUUUGCUAGGAUGCUGGCGUAAUGAUCUUAAGCCACCCGUCUU
Molecule: ribosomal RNA, 506 nt
Filed under: Wickerhamiella infanticola
Lineage: Eukaryota; Fungi; Ascomycota; Dipodascomycetes; Dipodascales; Trichomonascaceae
Description: partial large subunit ribosomal RNA
Rfam family: Eukaryotic large subunit ribosomal RNA
Source: RNAcentral